ACACAAUUUGCGGCGGCUGGCUUGACCGCAGUGAAUUUACUUACGUCAACUGGCUUUCCCAAAACAGCCGCAGCAAAUGAGCACAGCUUUUUCAGAAACUCUUCGGAGAAUGAGCUUGCUGGUAAGUUGCUCUGCAAGUCAACAAAUGGCAUAUUUUUUCCGUGUGUGGGAAGCGACGGGUAUCAGACGUCCUCUCCUCUUGAGUACUAGCGUUCUUAUUGGCAGUGUGGCAAUAGCCAUGUAGCAUUAUGUGCCAUAGUUGUCCCAUUGAGCGCUGAAUGAUACGUCGACCUCGCCUCCAUAUCGGAUGUGGCAAAGCGGAGCUCAAUUAUUUGCUGCUUGGAGAUGUGCCAAACCUUAUGUGAUGACCCUUUCACAGGUAAGACCGAACGAUGACUUGAUCGAUUUUGGCUUUUGGAAAUUGAAUUUGCUGACUUUGUAGCUGAUACCGAUGAGGACAUUUAAACUCGUUGUUUCGAUAAGUUGCAGUAACACUGUGGCGAACGUGUAUGCUCAGGUAACCAAGAUUGCUAUUGGAUGCCCGGAUGCUACUUAUUCUGUCGCCCCCUUAUCAGGUCAGGGUACUGGAAUGUUCUUGUCCGUGUUUGAAACGCCAUGCGUAGCUCCGUAUCCAGGUAGUUUAAUUGAACUUGAACUAAGUUACAUCUCGUAUUUGUUGAUAAUGUAACCCUCGUCUUUGCCGCUGCUCUUGCACGCUUUCUCCGGACGCUGUGUUGUCCUGUAUCUACCAUAAAGUGUCCUGACCUUGCCCCACCAGUAUCGCUCUCUUCGCAGUGAUCGGCACCUGUCGCCGAUCAGCCUGCAUUAAAGCCUGCCAGGUGGCCGAAAUCCUCCCUCCUGCGGUACAACAGCUCUCCACUUGCACUAAGUCUGAUCAAGCCAGUUUGCUACUGAGACCAACAAAAGGAGGACUUGCAUUGUAAAAGCGCACCCGACUGUCAAACUCCUGAAGUUUGCAGAUGACACCACUGUCAUCGGCCUCAUCGAGGACGGUGACGAGUCUGCAUAUCGACAGGAAGCGGAGCGGCGGGAGCUGCGGUGCGGCCGACGCAACCUGGAGCUGAACACGCUCAACACUGUAGAGAUGAUCGUGGACUUCAGGAGGCAUCCUUCGCCACAGCUGCCCCUCACGUUGUCCAGUUGCCUCGUGUCAACCGUCGAGACCUUCAAGUUUCCCUGGGAAUUACAGUCUCUCAGGACCUGAAGUGGGCGACCAACAUCAACUCCGUCCUCAAAAAGGCCCAGCAGAGGAUGUACUUCCUGCGGCUUCUGAGAAAGCACGGCCUGCCACCGGAGCUGCUGAGGCAAGUUCUACACAGCGGUCAUCGAAUCGGUCCUGUGUUCUUCCAUCACAGUCUGGUUUGGUGCUGCUACAAAAAAGGACAAACUCCGACUGCAACGGACAAUCAAAACUGCUGAAAGGAUUGUCGGUACCCCCCUACCCACCCUUGAGGACAGAACCAAGACAAGAGCGUGCAAAAAUCCUCUUGGACCCUCCGCACCCCGGUCACCAGCUCUACCAGCUCCUUCCCUCAGGGAGGCGCGACCGAUCAAUGCAAACUAGAACUAGUAGACAUUCCAACAGCUUCUUCCCUCUUGCCAUCAACUUCUUAAACACCUAACCUACAAGUCCAUUACAACAUGCUGGCAAUUUUUUGACAUGAGUUCGUUGUCACUUUUCUGUGGGGCCAAUUAUGUAUUACUCGUGCACUCACUGUAGUAGUCUCGCCACGCUGCUCUAUUUGCAUAUCUGUUGUUGACCAAUACUGGCCACUCAUGCCAGAGUAGCAUCUGCUCCAUUUGCACACAGAUUGAGGAGUAUCUGCAACAUUUGCACAAUCAACAUUGUCCCAGAUUAUCGCACUCCUCGGUUGAAGUCUCGGCGCCCUUUGCACAAUGUUCAUUGCACCGGACUAUAUUGCAAUAUGAGUCAUUGAAACUGCUCUAAGUGCUAGAGGACUUUUUUUUUUU
Molecule: long non-coding RNA, 1992 nt
Organism: Phycodurus eques (leafy seadragon)
Lineage: Eukaryota; Metazoa; Chordata; Actinopteri; Syngnathiformes; Syngnathidae
Exons: 3
Source: RefSeq, a predicted model, not a curated record